This 552-nucleotide long non-coding RNA is filed under the name Setaria viridis. RNAcentral describes it as "long non-coding RNA (SVIR_LNC008737)". The record is from RNAcentral. Lineage: Eukaryota; Viridiplantae; Streptophyta; Magnoliopsida; Poales; Poaceae.
AACCAAGCAGACCUAGAAUUUCAUCCAUGGUUUCAUUUUUAUUUAUUGAUGUUGCACUCUUGGAACAAUGAAGUGAAAUCAUGCAAUGAGAUUGGCAAAAGUGACAGUACAUCAUCAGCACAAUGUUCAGAAACAUAAGGCAACAUAACCAAAGUGACACUUGCAGAAUACGUCAUCGAGAAAAUGUUCAAAAACAUAAGGCAAUCCUAUGAAACUUUCACACUCUAAGUACCAUUAGCUACCAAAAUAUAAGAGCCACAUCCCACCUCUAAACCAUCUACUUAACUAGCUUUGCCACCAAGCAUCAAUCCCACAACAACAACAAAUAAAGCAAGUAGCACGUGCGCGAGUUUGACAUUAUGCCUAUAAUUCCCAAUUGACUUCAGCUCGGCAAUAGCCUUCUGAAGUUGUUGCUGCACCGUCUUGAGCUCAUUCCUAAUUUCUCUAAGCUCUCAGUUAGCUAUUCCUAAUUCUUCCUCCCACUUCUUUACAUACUCUUCAGCUUACACCUUCUUGUUCAUUAGCUUCACCUGAACACCCAAGGCCCUAUCA